GCGGGCGUGCUGAAAUUGGCAAACAGGACGGUUUUAGGUGCCGUUGCUCGAAAGAGUUUGUGGGUUCGAGUCCCACCGCCCGCACUA
RNAcentral lists this transfer RNA (87 nucleotides) under Mycolicibacterium brumae. RNAcentral's name for it is "Mycobacterium brumae tRNA-Leu". It matches the Rfam family "tRNA". From Rfam's summary of the family: Transfer RNA (tRNA) molecules are approximately 80 nucleotides in length. Lineage: Bacteria; Bacillati; Actinomycetota; Actinomycetes; Mycobacteriales; Mycobacteriaceae. The record is from RNAcentral. RNAcentral also lists the same sequence under 1 other name.